Molecule: ribosomal RNA, 2901 nt
Filed under: Escherichia coli
Lineage: Bacteria; Pseudomonadati; Pseudomonadota; Gammaproteobacteria; Enterobacterales; Enterobacteriaceae
Description: 23S ribosomal RNA
Rfam family: Bacterial large subunit ribosomal RNA
Source: RNAcentral
UUAAGCGACUAAGCGUACACGGUGGAUGCCCUGGCAGUCAGAGGCGAUGAAGGACGUGCUAAUCUGCGAUAAGCGUCGGUAAGGUGAUAUGAACCGUUAUAACCGGCGAUUUCCGAAUGGGGAAACCCAGUGUGAUUCGUCACACUAUCAUUAACUGAAUCCAUAGGUUAAUGAGGCGAACCGGGGGAACUGAAACAUCUAAGUACCCCGAGGAAAAGAAAUCAACCGAGAUUCCCCCAGUAGCGGCGAGCGAACGGGGAGCAGCCCAGAGCCUGAAUCAGUGUGUGUGUUAGUGGAAGCGUCUGGAAAGGCGUGCGAUACAGGGUGACAGCCCCGUACACAAAAAUGCACAUGCUGUGAGCUCGAUGAGUAGGGCGGGACACGUGGUAUCCUGUCUGAAUAUGGGGGGACCAUCCUCCAAGGCUAAAUACUCCUGACUGACCGAUAGUGAACCAGUACCGUGAGGGAAAGGCGAAAAGAACCCCGGCGAGGGGAGUGAAAAAGAACCUGAAACCGUGUACGUACAAGCAGUGGGAGCACGCUUAGGCGUGUGACUGCGUACCUUUUGUAUAAUGGGUCAGCGACUUAUAUUCUGUAGCAAGGUUAACCGAAUAGGGGAGCCGAAGGGAAACCGAGUCUUAACUGGGCGUUAAGUUGCAGGGUAUAGACCCGAAACCCGGUGAUCUAGCCAUGGGCAGGUUGAAGGUUGGGUAACACUAACUGGAGGACCGAACCGACUAAUGUUGAAAAAUUAGCGGAUGACUUGUGGCUGGGGGUGAAAGGCCAAUCAAACCGGGAGAUAGCUGGUUCUCCCCGAAAGCUAUUUAGGUAGCGCCUCGUGAAUUCAUCUCCGGGGGUAGAGCACUGUUUCGGCAAGGGGGUCAUCCCGACUUACCAACCCGAUGCAAACUGCGAAUACCGGAGAAUGUUAUCACGGGAGACACACGGCGGGUGCUAACGUCCGUCGUGAAGAGGGAAACAACCCAGACCGCCAGCUAAGGUCCCAAAGUCAUGGUUAAGUGGGAAACGAUGUGGGAAGGCCCAGACAGCCAGGAUGUUGGCUUAGAAGCAGCCAUCAUUUAAAGAAAGCGUAAUAGCUCACUGGUCGAGUCGGCCUGCGCGGAAGAUGUAACGGGGCUAAACCAUGCACCGAAGCUGCGGCAGCGACGCUUAUGCGUUGUUGGGUAGGGGAGCGUUCUGUAAGCCUGUGAAGGUGUACUGUGAGGUAUGCUGGAGGUAUCAGAAGUGCGAAUGCUGACAUAAGUAACGAUAAAGCGGGUGAAAAGCCCGCUCGCCGGAAGACCAAGGGUUCCUGUCCAACGUUAAUCGGGGCAGGGUGAGUCGACCCCUAAGGCGAGGCCGAAAGGCGUAGUCGAUGGGAAACAGGUUAAUAUUCCUGUACUUGGUGUUACUGCGAAGGGGGGACGGAGAAGGCUAUGUUGGCCGGGCGACGGUUGUCCCGGUUUAAGCGUGUAGGCUGGUUUUCCAGGCAAAUCCGGAAAAUCAAGGCUGAGGCGUGAUGACGAGGCACUACGGUGCUGAAGCAACAAAUGCCCUGCUUCCAGGAAAAGCCUCUAAGCAUCAGGUAACAUCAAAUCGUACCCCAAACCGACACAGGUGGUCAGGUAGAGAAUACCAAGGCGCUUGAGAGAACUCGGGUGAAGGAACUAGGCAAAAUGGUGCCGUAACUUCGGGAGAAGGCACGCUGAUAUGUAGGUGAAGUCCCUCGCGGAUGGAGCUGAAAUCAGUCGAAGAUACCAGCUGGCUGCAACUGUUUAUUAAAAACACAGCACUGUGCAAACACGAAAGUGGACGUAUACGGUGUGACGCCUGCCCGGUGCCGGAAGGUUAAUUGAUGGGGUUAGCGCAAGCGAAGCUCUUGAUCGAAGCCCCGGUAAACGGCGGCCGUAACUAUAACGGUCCUAAGGUAGCGAAAUUCCUUGUCGGGUAAGUUCCGACCUGCACGAAUGGCGUAAUGAUGGCCAGGCUGUCUCCACCCGAGACUCAGUGAAAUUGAACUCGCUGUGAAGAUGCAGUGUACCCGCGGCAAGACGGAAAGACCCCGUGAACCUUUACUAUAGCUUGACACUGAACAUUGAGCCUUGAUGUGUAGGAUAGGUGGGAGGCUUUGAAGUGUGGACGCCAGUCUGCAUGGAGCCGACCUUGAAAUACCACCCUUUAAUGUUUGAUGUUCUAACGUUGACCCGUAAUCCGGGUUGCGGACAGUGUCUGGUGGGUAGUUUGACUGGGGCGGUCUCCUCCUAAAGAGUAACGGAGGAGCACGAAGGUUGGCUAAUCCUGGUCGGACAUCAGGAGGUUAGUGCAAUGGCAUAAGCCAGCUUGACUGCGAGCGUGACGGCGCGAGCAGGUGCGAAAGCAGGUCAUAGUGAUCCGGUGGUUCUGAAUGGAAGGGCCAUCGCUCAACGGAUAAAAGGUACUCCGGGGAUAACAGGCUGAUACCGCCCAAGAGUUCAUAUCGACGGCGGUGUUUGGCACCUCGAUGUCGGCUCAUCACAUCCUGGGGCUGAAGUAGGUCCCAAGGGUAUGGCUGUUCGCCAUUUAAAGUGGUACGCGAGCUGGGUUUAGAACGUCGUGAGACAGUUCGGUCCCUAUCUGCCGUGGGCGCUGGAGAACUGAGGGGGGCUGCUCCUAGUACGAGAGGACCGGAGUGGACGCAUCACUGGUGUUCGGGUUGUCAUGCCAAUGGCACUGCCCGGUAGCUAAAUGCGGAAGAGAUAAGUGCUGAAAGCAUCUAAGCACGAAACUUGCCCCGAGAUGAGUUCUCCCUGACUCCUUGAGAGUCCUGAAGGAACGUUGAAGACGACGACGUUGAUAGGCCGGGUGUGUAAGCGCAGCGAUGCGUUGAGCUAACCGGUACUAAUGAACCGUGAGGCUUAACCU